UAACUAAGAGAGGCUUGUUUAAGGGAAG
This 28-nucleotide non-coding RNA is filed under the name Rattus norvegicus (Norway rat). Lineage: Eukaryota; Metazoa; Chordata; Mammalia; Rodentia; Muridae. The record is from RNAcentral.